UUUGUCCGGCAACUGAAUACCUAUGGUUUCCGUAAAGUUGCAACUAGCCGAUGGGAGUUCUGCAAUGAUAUGUUUCGAAAGGCUGAAAGAGAGCUUCUUUGCCAAAUCCGUCGACGAAAAGCAUGGUCUAAUAAGCAACAACCUACCGCACCAAUUCAAGCUACACCACAAGAUUUUGACGAAGAUCAAAGAUCAUCAUCAACUUCGUCGUCGUCUGAAUACAGUACCUUAAUCGAUGAAAAUCAACGUCUCAAGAAAGAAAACGGGGUCUUGAGCUCGGAACUCACUGGCAUGAAAAAGAAGUGCAAGGAGCUUCUUGAUUUAGUGGCUAAAUAUGCACACUUGGAGAAAGAAGAAGAUGAUGAUGGUGAUGAGAGGCCAAAGUUGUUUGGUGUGA
RNAcentral lists this unclassified non-coding RNA (397 nucleotides) under Hevea brasiliensis (rubber tree). Lineage: Eukaryota; Viridiplantae; Streptophyta; Magnoliopsida; Malpighiales; Euphorbiaceae. The record is from RNAcentral.